This 244-nucleotide long non-coding RNA is filed under the name Prunus persica (peach). RNAcentral describes it as "long non-coding RNA (PPER_LNC008353)". Lineage: Eukaryota; Viridiplantae; Streptophyta; Magnoliopsida; Rosales; Rosaceae. The record is from RNAcentral.
UUGAGGAGAGUCCUGCCUGGCUUGGAUAUUUGUUGCUUAAUGAUUCAUUGGGAGCUGUUAAGGCUCGUUUGAUUAGUACUACUUAGUCGUUGUGUUGGUGUCUGGGGGUUUUCCCUCUUUUUCUUUAUCAAAAAAAAAUAAAGCAAUACUCAUGGGAUUUUUCUGAGGUUGUGAGGUAUGAGAAGCCGGCACGAUUUGGGUCAGGCUGUUUUUCAGCUGAUUUGUGAGUUAAAUUGGGUGAGUU